RNAcentral lists this ribosomal RNA (254 nucleotides) under uncultured bacterium. RNAcentral's name for it is "partial 16S ribosomal RNA". It matches the Rfam family "Bacterial small subunit ribosomal RNA", at positions 524 to 776 of the family's 1533-position model. The record is from RNAcentral.
UACGGGGGGAGCAAGCGUUGUUCGGAUUUACUGGGCGUAAAGGGCGCGUAGGCGGUCAGCACAAGUCAGUUGUGAAAUCUCCGGGCUUAACUCGGAAAGGUCAACUGAUACUGUGCGACUAGAGUGCAGAAGGGGCAACUGGAAUUCUCGGUGUAGCGGUGAAAUGCGUAGAUAUCGAGAGGAACACCGGUGGCGAAGGCGGCUACCUGGACAGAAACUGACGCUGAGGCACGAAAGCUAGGGGAGCAAACAGG